Molecule: ribosomal RNA, 460 nt
Filed under: uncultured bacterium
Lineage: Bacteria
Description: partial 16S ribosomal RNA
Rfam family: Bacterial small subunit ribosomal RNA
Source: RNAcentral
CCUACGGGAGGCAGCAGUGAGGAAUAUUGGUCAAUGGACGAGAGUCUGAACCAGCCAAGUAGCGUGAAGGAUGACUGCCCUAUGGGUUGUAAACUUCUUUUAUAUGGGAAUAAAAUGUUCCACGUGUGGGAUUUUGUAUGUACCAUAUGAAUACGGAUCGGCUAACUCCGUGCCAGCAGCCGCGGUAAUACGGAGGAUCCGAGCGUUAUCCGGAUUUAUUGGGUUUAAAGGGAGCGUAGGUGGAUUGUUAAGUCAGUUGUGAAAGUUUGCGGCUCAAACGUAAAAUUGCAGUUGAAACUGGCAGUCUUGAGUACAGUAGAGGUGGGCGGAAUUCGUGGUGUAGCGGUGAAAUGCUUAGAUAUCACGAAGAACUCCGAUUGCGAAGGCAGUUCACUGGACUGCAACUGACACUGAGGCUCGAAAGUGUGGGUAUCAAACAGGAUUAGAUACCCUUGUAGUC